GUCCUUUUUACUAUGGGGAUGGAAGAGGGCAUCCUUUUCUCCUUAGACAGGGCUGGAGACCAAGAUCAGCUCUUGUGGAUGGAUCAUUGUUGGGACUGCCACAAGAUGAGUAGCCUUAUCUUCCUACCUCAGACGUCU
Urocitellus parryii (Arctic ground squirrel) is the source of this 138-nucleotide non-coding RNA. NCBI's taxonomy places the organism in Eukaryota, Metazoa, Chordata, Mammalia, Rodentia, Sciuridae. The record is from Ensembl.